This 317-nucleotide ribosomal RNA is filed under the name Listeria monocytogenes. RNAcentral's name for it is "bacterial SSU rRNA". It matches the Rfam family "Bacterial small subunit ribosomal RNA", at positions 1 to 306 of the family's 1533-position model. The record is from RNAcentral. Lineage: Bacteria; Bacillati; Bacillota; Bacilli; Caryophanales; Listeriaceae.
UUUAAAGAGAGUUUGAUCCUGGCUCAGGACGAACGCUGGCGGCGUGCCUAAUACAUGCAAGUCGAACGAACGGAGGAAGAGCUUGCUCUUCCAAAGUUAGUGGCGGACGGGUGAGUAACACGUGGGCAACCUGCCUGUAAGUUGGGGACAACUCCGGGAAACCGGGGCUAAUACCGAAUGAUAAAGUGUGGCGCAUGCCACGCUUUUGAAAGAUGGUUUCGGCUAUCGCUUACAGAUGGGCCCGCGGUGCAUUAGCUAGUUGGUAGGGUAAUGGCCUACCAAGGCAACGAUGCAUAGCCGACCUGAGAGGGUGAUCG